AAAUGCUGACUUUCUCGCAGUGCAAAACUGAAAACAUCACUGGACUUGCUUUUAGUGCCUUUCGAAUAGAAAUGUUAAAAAAUAUAUCGAAGAACUUUUAACGGCUUUUAGUGGUUUCUACCAAAUGAUUUUUAGUUUUUUAACAGUUCACAGGCCACAACAGUUUUUUUCAUAGCUCACAGCCCACAGCACCUUUUUUCACAUCCACAGCCCAACCAAACAGACCCAACUCUAACUCUGAUUCUAAGUGAGGAUUCAGAGAAGCUGUGCUAAACGGAAAUUUUUUUACUGAUUCUCAUGUAGCAGAAAGAUUGGAAGUCGUUUUUGUGAAAGAAAAGUGGGAUAAAAAAACAUGCUUCAUCGUCUCUUAAAACAGCUCCUCAACCAACCAAAUAUAGACCUUCCCUUAAAGAUUGACCAAAAUUACUCGUAAAUGCCAUUGAAAAAAAUCAUCACGAUCCCCUCUCGUACCCCCACGGCGUCCGGCCUCUGUUUCACGACCCCUUGCCUACAGGUAGCGGCGGCUAGGGUUCUGUCGUUCUCCAGCAAAUCUGCCGCCCUCCAGCCACCGUGCCGCCCUCCAGCCACUUUUUCGCCCUCUAGCCAUCAACCUCAGGGAGUCAGCCAGUGUCGGCGCCAUCCUCAACACCCGCCAGUGGUGUGUCUUCGUCUAUUUGCGAUGGAAGCAAACAGAACAGGCUCAUGCACUAGCACCAUGCACAAGAGGUGGUUUGUUCAUAUGUCUGUAACAAUAGUAGCGUACGUGCGAGUAGAGAACCCAAUGCUCACUCGUCAUCCAUGAAUGCAUAUGCAUCACAACAGCUGUACAUAUUUGUUUUAGGUUUUAAUUUUUUUUACAGCAUGCAUAUUUGUUUGAGGUUUAAUUUUUUUAUAGCAUUAUGGGUGAUAGUGCUGAUCAGAAUGAAGAGAACACAGCCCUAGUAUAUGAAUUGUUCGCCGAACAAGCGAAGGCGCAUAAUCGUUAUGGCACCCACUUGAAUAAAAUAGGGUACAAAAAUGUGAUGGACAAAUUCAAAGAAAAUACCAGGUUGUCCUAUACCAAAAUGCAGUUCAAGAACAAAUGGGACAAUAUGAGGAUUGAGUACACAAACUGGAAAAGAUUAUCGAGAUAAACCGGGUUAGGAUGGGACACCGCUAAAAACAUGGAGUGCGACGAAUGAAAGGUGGAAGAACCUGAAUAAGCAAUACAAAGGAAUUGUUAAGUUUAAAGAUGGGCCUCUCUUGCACGAGGAAGAAAACACCAUCAUGUAUGAAGAUGUUAGGAACACAGGAGAUGAUCAUUGGGCUCCAUCUAGUUGUACUACACCGCACAUUGUGGAUGGUGAAACCAGAUUAUAUCCCUACUAUUCCAGCCCGUAAUAGGCGACAUGUCCCUCAAUGCAUCAGACACAUCUACCAUAGGGUCAAGUGGCAUGAACAUGAAUAGGUUUCGUGAUGUAGCGAAGGCACUUUGGGAGUCAAAGUAAUUAGAAAAUGUGGUUCGUGUCAUAAUUUGGGGAGAGUGCCAUGCUAGUUUUAUGCAUUUUAUGGAUUGAACAUUUGAGACCAUUUUAUGUACUAAUAUAAUGGGAAUAUUAUAUGGUAUUAUUUCAUAAAUUUGUUCGUAUA
This is a long non-coding RNA of Zea mays, 1629 nucleotides long. RefSeq lists it as uncharacterized. The transcript has 3 exons. Lineage: Eukaryota; Viridiplantae; Streptophyta; Magnoliopsida; Poales; Poaceae. The record is from RefSeq and is a predicted model, not a curated record.